RNAcentral lists this ribosomal RNA (780 nucleotides) under uncultured Enterobacteriaceae bacterium. RNAcentral's name for it is "bacterial SSU rRNA". It matches the Rfam family "Bacterial small subunit ribosomal RNA", at positions 720 to 1502 of the family's 1533-position model. The record is from RNAcentral. Lineage: Bacteria; Pseudomonadati; Pseudomonadota; Gammaproteobacteria; Enterobacterales; Enterobacteriaceae.
GGCGGCCCCCUUGACAAGACUGACGCUCAGGUGCAAAAGCGUGGGGAGCAAACAGGAUUAGAUACCUGGUAGUCACGCUGUAAACGAUGUCGAUUUGGAGGUUGUUCCCUUGAGGAGUGGCUUCCGGAGCUAACGCGUUAAAUCGACCGCCUGGGGAGUACGGCCGCAAGGUUAAAACUCAAAUGAAUUGACGGGGGCCCGCACAAGCGGUGGAGCAUGUGGUUUAAUUCGAUGCAACGCGAAGAACCUUACCUACUCUUGACAUCCAGAGAAUUUAGCAGAGAUGCUUUAGUGCCUUCGGGAACUCUGAGACAGGUGCUGCAUGGCUGUCGUCAGCUCGUGUUGUGAAAUGUUGGGUUAAGUCCCGCAACGGGCGCAACCCUUAUCCUUUGUUGCCAGCACAUUAUGGUGGGAACUCAAAGGAGACUGCCGGUGAUAAACCGGAGGAAGGUGGGGAUGACGUCAAGUCAUCAUGGCCCUUACGAGUAGGGCUACACACGUGCUACAAUGGCGUAUACAAAGAGAAGCGACCUCGCGAGAGCAAGCGGAACUCAUAAAGUACGUCGUAGUCCGGAUUGGAGUCUGCAACUCGACUCCAUGAAGUCGGAAUCGCUAGUAAUCGUAGAUCAGAAUGCUACGGUGAAUACGUUCCCGGGCCUUGUACACACCGCCCGUCACACCAUGGGAGUGGGUUGCAAAAGAAGUAGGUAGCUUAACCUUCGGGAGGGCGCUUACCACUUUGUGAUUCAUGACUGGGGUGAAGUCGUAACAAGGUAACCA